GGCUGUGAGUGUAUUUUUCAUCCGGGGCACGCAGGAAUGAAGGGAAGGAGGAGCUUAGGUUGGAGACUGGUCAGUGAUGGCCGAAGCAGAUUGAGGAUGCGGAGUGCCUGGGAAAGAGUGAUACCUUAAGAAAAGUACUGUGCACCUGCUUACAGAGUGACUUUUAGCAUCCUUCAUGGAGAAACAGUUCGAGACCCUUAGCCUGGCUAUGUUGGCAGCAGCUGCAGUUAAGUGGCUACAGCUGCAGGACCUCCAGGGCUUCCUAUGAGCAAGUCCUGCCAGUCAGUCAUCACGAGGCUGAGUGGAAGGAGAUCUGACAAAGAGAGAGUCAAAGGCUGCCCGCUUCCUGGGGCCUAAGGCUAGGAGAGCCCUCUUCCCUCCUGGUACACACCAGCCAAAGGCAUGUUCCUGGAUCAAGUGUCUAGCUGAUAAUGAAAGUCCCAACUCUGACAUUCAGAAACGGGGGAAAAUAUGACAAGUGGUCCUUCUUUCAGAGACAUGUUUCGCCAGGAUUAUCUCUACCUGAAUAAGGAUUGUGUUACAAUAGCUACUUAGUAUCAAGACGACAGACAGGAUGCAAUUUAAGAAUCUGAGGGCAUCAUUUGUGUAUUACUCUCACAUCAUGAAAUAGGCUGUGAAUAAACUUCCUUGGAUUUCUAGAAUGCCAAAUAGUACAUGAUAUUCAUCCAUUCAUCCUCAAAACUCUGUCCAGCAUUUGUUUUUUGUUUUGUUUUUUUGCUUGUUGGUUGGUUUGCUGGUUUGCUUGUCUGGUUUUCUUACAGUCUGGAGAAGAGACAUGAAAUUGCAGAACCCCAUGCUUCUCAGAUUUUCUGGGGUUAGCAAUGCUUGGGACAGAGUCGCCUCUUUCAGUUAUGGGUGUUGGCCAGUGUCCACCACCAGGAAAAAUGGCCACACCAUUCUAAGGGACCAGUAUUUCUAUAUUGUGCAGAAGCAGAAGCACAAUUUCACCUGGAUCUGCAGCUUGAACUGAAAGGAGUUACCCAGUGCUACCCGCCUCCCAAUGUUUUUGGUUGUUACAAACCUUAUCCCAGGUGGGACAGUGACUCUCUAAGCAGGUUUAAUAGCAAAAUACUGUGGCUACCAUACUUGAGAAAGUAGCUGAGAAUCAUUAUGGUAGAAAGAUGGCUCUAACCAGCUCCUCUAGCAAGCUGCCUGGGAAAGUAGGAAAGGAAUGCAUGACACUCUCCUCCUUGGGAUUUUAAGUUUUCAUCCUUUUUGAAUGUGCACAAGAGUCAUAAGAAUUUGAGUCAACACUAUCCCAAGAUUUCUAGGACUUUUCCAGAAGAGCAUUUGGCCUAGAACCCUGCUACUCCAAACUGCACUUCCCCUGUCUUCCUUAUCUCUUCUCUUUCCAGCUAGAGUUGCAGGAUAGAUUUGUGUUAAAACACUUGGUAAAUGAAGAUUAUAUUAAUAGAACAUCUCAGAGUUUUCAUUAUUUUAUUUUUUAAAAAAGCACAGAAUGAAUUCUUGAGUUUGAGCUCUAAAUGAAUGUGCUGGAUAGCUUUCAAGGCACCAGUGUAGGUCAGUCUAAUGAGUUUAUCCCAAAGUGGACUGAAAGUUUGUGGAAUCUGGUAUAUUGGAGGCUGUGCUGCAUAGAUUAUCUAAUCCAUCCCAUUAAAUUUUAUUUUUACACACAAAAUUCCCUUUUUAGGUAAUUAUCCAUUGUCAAUUUUCUUGCUUGUGGUAAUAAUUACUGGGCUCCUGUAUCACUGGAAAUACAACAGAAAUAUGUAACACAUUCUUUUAUGUAUUAUGCUCCUAGCCCUGCUUUUAAGUCUCAAGCAAAGCCUCUCCAUUCUAAAUUAACAUAUUUCCAUUCUUCCUUAAAGUGUGGUAGGUAUUUUUACUACUAAAAUAAAAUAUUUUAGUGGAAAUAUUUGC
Long non-coding RNA from Sus scrofa (pig), 1902 nucleotides. RefSeq lists it as uncharacterized. Lineage: Eukaryota; Metazoa; Chordata; Mammalia; Artiodactyla; Suidae. The record is from RefSeq and is a predicted model, not a curated record.